AUAUUAGGCUACACAACAGAGGAUUCUGAUGGAUAUUUCAGGGUUUGAGUUUACAUGGGAAAUAUUAUUCUAUAUUUUCCACAAGUACUGUAUAUUAAGGACAUUUCUUAAUUAAGAACUACAAGGCAAAAAAGAAAGAAAAAACUUCUAUGCAACUGAGGUAAGCAACCGGCACUAGAACUGGUUGCCAGUCGCUCCACUUCAGAGCAAAGCUGGGGUGACUUGAGGUUCAGUCUUUGUUGGGGUCCCACAGGUGUAACACCGCUCUUACCUGUGUGCAGCAUCCCGGAGCCGGACUCGCCUCCAAAAUCCAGCGGAGCAUCGGCAGGCCGCAGCAGCUUCUCUCCUCCCGCAGCUGCAUCCCAUCACCGAGGCGCCAAACGAGCCAACAGAGGACCCGCCCAUUCCUUCCAAUGUGGACCAAUUACAAUCCUGCAGGACCUCCGCCCAUUUUAUUUCAAAGCCUG
Scatophagus argus is the source of this 467-nucleotide long non-coding RNA. RefSeq lists it as uncharacterized. The record is from RefSeq and is a predicted model, not a curated record. NCBI's taxonomy places the organism in Eukaryota, Metazoa, Chordata, Actinopteri, Scatophagidae. The transcript is spliced from 3 exons.